UUUUUUAUUUAUCAUUUUGCAUAAAUUUGUGUCUUUUGCAGGUUAAAUGUAGGGUUGCAGCAUGCUAUUGAUGACAGUGAGCACAAGACAGCACUGUACAUGCAGGCCAAGGCCGACAAACGGCUAAACCUGACCUUUCCUCCUGUCAAGUCACAAGGGACGAAUGCUGCCGUAAAUCAAGACAGACUGGGUUAUUCAUUUAGUGGCUGGUCUGAUAGCCCUUCAGCAGGAGUGGAGAAUCUUCGUCACAAUCAUAACAUGAGCAUGAAUCCCUUUGGAUACAACAGACGAACCUUAGCAUUCCAACCAACUUCUCUAAACUAUGUUGUGGAGUGGCCUGAGACCUGGCCACUGAAGAUCAUGAGUCUUGGCAAAGGAACUGCAGUGCCCCAUAAGAAGAAAACAAAAACCAAGAGUCUUGGCAAAGGAACUGUAGUGCCCCAUAAGAAGAAAACCAAGACCAAACCCAAAGUAAAUCGCAAAGUACAUUUUGAGAAAUCUCCAGCUCCUCCUACAUCACCUCUUGGAGAAUCCAGAAAUAUAAAAAAACAAGCACCUACUGAAGCUGUAGCAUAUGACCAGUCUAAACAGGUUUUAUGUCAAAUGAAAAAUCCUGCAGCAACAGGAACAGCCCUCCCACACUCACCCAUCAUUGAAGAACCCAUGGAUAAAAGAGAAGUCGAGGAAUCCCCUUUGACGGGGCAAGCUUUAGAAGGAAAUGCUAGCAGUAACAUACUUGACAUUGAAGAAAGACGCAGUUCAGAAAUUCCAGUUGAGUACUCUGAGACAAGCUCCUUAUCAGAAAGUACUUAUGUGGACUCCUUUCAGGACAAGCUGAAGACAAUUGAGGUACCAGAUGAUACAGGGAAACAACAAGAUGACAGCACGACUAGGCUCUCUAGUGUUCCCCCCUGCACCCCCACCCCUGUCCCCAUCAAAACAGAAGGCACAGACGUGGACAAUGAACCCGAGAGUGGUGUGGAUGAGGGUGGGGUGGGAGAGGAAGAUUCACAAAGUCUAUUGAUGGAUGUCGUGUCCCAGAUAGCUUCAGAUCCGGCAGCAGAUUAUAUGAAGGACAUUUGACAGUUGCAGCUACGCGACCUAAGAAAGGCAUGCCUGGAAUGCAUCCGCUGGCCAGAAACAAAGCAGGCACCUCGUGUGGAAAGUCAGACCUCUACUGAAAGUAUUUGAAUAGUUUUAUUUUAUCAUCAACCUAUUCCGGCAAAUUGAUUUCUAAGUCGAUCUUGAAACUAAUAACUUCAAGCUUGAGUUUACCUGGAUUGAUAAUAAUCUUUGUUCAGGCCGUGAUUGUUCGCUCUUCUUAUUUCAGAACUGCAACGUUGCCGUAAAAUCAGUUUAAGUUUUCUUUUUUUCAUUUGCUCAGGAUCGAAUAGGGUAUUAAAAAGCCGUAGAGUGAAUGUGCAUGAAGGAUUUUGUCGUGUGCCCGAGCAUUUUAUGAUUGUUAACCAAUCAGCAACGUCUUUCUCGAUUGUCCAGUCACAGCCCUGGUUGAAGCGCGGCUUACACUGAACAUAAACUUCUUAAAGCCUUGUAAAUGGUAUCAAACUUUUAAGCCAACUUUAACGCAGCAAAGUAGAGCGUAAGAUUUAGGGAAAAAGCUUGAGAGUUUAAUUUAGAAGCAACCGGCUUUGGUAUUGAAAUAAGAGCGGCGAGCAAUUAUAAAGUUUUAAAUUUAUUAGUGUUAUCUUUGUGUUGGUACAUUUACUCCUUUUCUUUGACCAAUCAAAGGUCACGUUUUUAAGACAAGUCAAGAGUUUUAAAUGCACGUGCCGUUGUUUGCUCUGUGAUUGGUUAAGAAGUUCUGAAAACCAACAAAAAGCCGUCCAGUAUCAAUCAAAACUGCUAGCCAAUGGCAACGCUACAAUAUGUUACCCUGUUCGAAAAUGUUUUGAAACGAUAUCAUUUACUGAUGAAUUUAUUUUAUAUAUUUUAAAGAUAAUACCGAACGAAAGUUACCAAAGAGUGUUUUAUAACAAAAAAUAUAUUUACAUGAAAAAUCUAUAGAAACCCACAAUUUCAGACUCAAAACGAUGAUAUUUACGUUUAUAUGCGAUUAACUUGGUUUAACGGAUUUUUUUUUUGAAAAGAUGAACGAGGAUUAAAACGCAAUCAGACGAAGAAAUUUUCGUAAACAGUUUGCGGUGUGUUCUUUUUUGAUAUUGGUGCCAAAAAAGUGCCUUGCAAAACGCGAGGGAUAAGUUAUUACUGCUGCAGUAAAAAACCCACGUAUAAGAACCUAGGUUUCUUCAAGUUAGCCUCCAUAGGUUCUUAUAUAAAUGGUGCUUACUGUGAAAUUAGGUUACCUAGGUUCUUAAUCAGGUUCUUAAUUUUUGUUUUAAAAAAACAACUUGUACUCAUGGGUGUGACGUUUAUAUUGAAUCAUUCACAGUGCAGUAAUAUUUAGGUCUUAUAACACUGCCAGUGCUCUGGCUAGUUUUUGUUACCUUUUUGUGUCGCAUGUAUUGUACUGUAUUAUA
Orbicella faveolata is the source of this 2498-nucleotide unclassified non-coding RNA. NCBI's taxonomy places the organism in Eukaryota, Metazoa, Cnidaria, Anthozoa, Scleractinia, Merulinidae. The record is from RefSeq and is a predicted model, not a curated record.